UGGGGUGUAGCCAAGUGGUAAGGCAUCUGGUUUUGGUCCAGACAUUCGGUAGUUCGAUCCUAUCCACCCCAG
This 72-nucleotide transfer RNA is filed under the name Brevinema andersonii. It matches the Rfam family "tRNA". Rfam says of the family: Transfer RNA (tRNA) molecules are approximately 80 nucleotides in length. Their secondary structure includes four short double-helical elements and three loops (D, anti-codon, and T loops). The record is from Rfam by way of RNAcentral. Lineage: Bacteria; Pseudomonadati; Spirochaetota; Spirochaetia; Brevinematales; Brevinemataceae.